CACGCUGUAAACGAUGAUCACUCGUUGUUGGCGAUAUACAGUCAGCGACUGAACGAAAGUAUUAAGUGAUCCACCUGGGGAGUACGAUCGCAAGGUUGAAACUCAAAGGAAUUGACGGGGGCCCGCACAAGCGGUGGAGCAUGUGGUUUAAUUCGAUGAUACGCGAGGAACCUUACCUGGGCUUGAACGUAUUAUGACAGUCCCCGAAAGGGGAUCUUCCUUUAGGACAUUUUACGAGGUGC
This 242-nucleotide ribosomal RNA is filed under the name uncultured bacterium. RNAcentral's name for it is "partial 16S ribosomal RNA". It matches the Rfam family "Bacterial small subunit ribosomal RNA", at positions 796 to 1041 of the family's 1533-position model. RNAcentral also lists the same sequence under 1 other name. The record is from RNAcentral.